This 1183-nucleotide ribosomal RNA is filed under the name Ralstonia solanacearum. It matches the Rfam family "Bacterial large subunit ribosomal RNA", at positions 1741 to 2925 of the family's 2925-position model. Lineage: Bacteria; Pseudomonadati; Pseudomonadota; Betaproteobacteria; Burkholderiales; Burkholderiaceae. The record is from RNAcentral.
UGUAGUUUGACUGGCUCGCGCCAGAAGGACGAAGGGGUUGCAAUAAAAUGGUGGCUGCGACUGUUUAAUAAAAACACAGCACUCUGCAAACACGAAAGUGGACGUAUAGGGUGUGACGCCUGCCCGGUGCCGGAAGAUUAAAUGAUGGGGUGCAAGCUCUUGAUUGAAGUCCCGGUAAACGGCGGCCGUAACUAUAACGGUCCUAAGGUAGCGAAAUUCCUUGUCGGGUAAGUUCCGACCUGCACGAAUGGCGUAACGAUGGCCACACUGUCUCCUCCCGAGACUCAGCGAAGUUGAAGUGUUUGUGAUGAUGCAAUCUCCCCGCGGCUAGACGGAAAGACCCCAUGAACCUUUACUGUAGCUUUGCAUUGGACUUUGAACCGAUCUGUGUAGGAUAGGUGGGAGGCUUUGAAACCGGGACGCUAGUUUCGGUGGAGCCGUCCUUGAAAUACCACCCUGGUUUGUUUGAGGUUCUAACCUUGGCCCGUGAAUCCGGGUCGGGGACAGUGCAUGGUAGGCAGUUUGACUGGGGCGGUCUCCUCCCAAAGUGUAACGGAGGAGUUCGAAGGUACGCUUGGUACGGUCGGACAUCGUACCUAAAGUGCAAUGGCAAAAGCGUGCUUAACUGCGAGACCGACAAGUCGAGCAGGUGCGAAAGCAGGACAUAGUGAUCCGGUGGUUCUGUAUGGAAGGGCCAUCGCUCAACGGAUAAAAGGUACUCUGGGGAUAACAGGCUGAUACCGCCCAAGAGUUCAUAUCGACGGCGGUGUUUGGCACCUCGAUGUCGGCUCAUCUCAUCCUGGGGCUGUAGCCGGUCCCAAGGGUAUGGCUGUUCGCCAUUUAAAGAGGUACGUGAGCUGGGUUUAAAACGUCGUGAGACAGUUUGGUCCCUAUCUGCCGUGGGCGUUGGAAUCUUGACGGGGGCUGCUCCUAGUACGAGAGGACCGGAGUGGACGUACCGCUGGUGUACCUGUUGUCUCGCCAGAGGCAUCGCAGGGUAGCUAUGUACGGAAGAGAUAACCGCUGAAAGCAUCUAAGCGGGAAACUCGCCUGAAGAUGAGGAUUCCCUGGAGACUUGAUCUCCCUGAAGGGUCGUUCGAGACCAGGACGUUGAUAGGCUGGGUGUGGAAGCGCAGUAAUGCGUUCAGCUAACCAGUACUAAUUGCCCGUGCGGCUUGAUCCU